UAAAUAAAGGAUUUAUUUUAAUUAUUAGUUACCUAAGUAUCUGGACAUCAACGUCCAUUCCAGUUGGUAUUUAGUCUAAAUCAUCUGAACCAUCCUAUAGUCCUUUAAUUAACAUAAAAUUUUACCUGGAAUGGAAGGUUGAAACUAGUCAUAUUGUUGCUACGCUCGCCCAAGCACAAGUUCAUUGCUAUAAUCUUGAUUUGGUGUACGAGCACACCUUUCGCUCACCACAAAUACUAUAACGAGUGAAAAACGAACAGGACACAACACAAUUGAUGUGAAAAUAAAUAUUCAAUUAACUACGACAACAACCAACAACUUUACCGUCCUGUCACUGUCAGACUUGAAACGUCAAGAGUAUCAAACCCAUGGGUAAAAAUAAAGCCGGACAUAAUUGAUAUUAUAAAAUCAUAGCUGGAAUUGUUUUCAUAAGUUCCAUUUAUCCAUUGGGCGUAAUUUCGGCACUCGAUGACAAUUCCUAUUUUUGGAAUCGGAAGAACAAGAGUACAUUCUCUCAAGAAAAUAAGUCCGCACCUAAAUGAAGCGCCGGAACUUCAUUGCGUUCAGUACAUCUUAGACUAAGGACGACGUGUCACGCGUGUAUCGAAAAUUAAAAAAAUAUAUUUAAGAAUUAAAAAAUGCCUUCCUGCGUGCUCAAAAGUUGUAGCAAUAAUACAAAAAAACAUAAUGCAAGCCACGGAAUAACAUUCCACAGGUUUCUUCGGCCUGGCCAUGAAAAAAGUGAAUAUUGGAUCCGAUUUGUGCAGAAGAAUCGUAACGAGGAAACUUGGCUACCCAAUCAGUAUACAUACAUAUGUUCGAUGCACUUUAGAGAACAAGACAAGUACAUUUCAAAAUCGGGACGAGUCUUUUUGAAAGAAUUUGCAGUACCAUACGAUCCUCAAAACGAUCCGACACCUGGACCUUCCCAGCAAGACGAACCAAUAGAUCCAUUAUGCAUCAGCGAUUCAGAUUCCAUUUUUGAUUCACCCCAAGAAAUUGCUUUAAAAAAAAGACUCCAAAAAGUAAUAAUUGCUAGAAAGAAUCUUGCUAAGAAAUAUAAGGCAUUAAAAGAUCAAAACAGAUAUUUAAAGAAGAAAUGUCUGUGUUAUAAAGAAAUAAUUAAAGUGUUCAAGCAAAAAUUUGACAAACAGAAGCAGAUUUAAUGGCGAAAGCUGAAUUGGUAGAGUUACAUAAAUCUUUUUGAAGAACCAACAUCAAUUCCUAUGUAUACUCGUACGUACAGCACUGCUGCUGCGUAAAUUUGCAUUGCAUUAGAGUCAAACCAAGAUAACUUGGCAGCGAUUUUGAUAGCCCCUUGUUCCAUCCUUAGAAAAUCAGAAAAAAAGUGUGCAUUUUUCAUUUUUCUUGAUUCUUGCCACAUAAUUAAAAUAGUUAAGUAAUAAGAAACACCUUUGGACGGACCCAAUCCAUAAACUGGCAAUUUCUGAUUAAAUUAAAUCUAUUACAAAUUACAACAGAGUGAGGGCUUUCGAUUUGCUAACAAAUUAACUCCACUCCACUUCAAUUGCUACCCAGUUAUUAAGCAUGAGUGUUGCAAAUGCAUGAACUCUCUGUAACGAAGUUCUAAAAAUCCACAAGAUUCCAUGAUUCUUCGGGGACGGAUGGAAAUCAAAACCCUGCUGAAUAAACCAAAAAAAUAUUAUCUACAGAUUUUUUUACUUAAAGACAAGACGUAAUCUGAAGCAACGAAAGCAAACACCAAGAAUAAUAAUUAACAUAGCAAAGAAAAAGUAAUGAAAUCUAUUAACAGUAAAAGAUUCCUUUGUUCUCUGAUUUGCACAGAAUCGUCGAAGACACUACAACCACAUACUCGUAAUAGAGAAACAAAAUGCUCCAGUAUAUAUCGAGUAUCGACAUAUAGAGUCAGUCAAGAUCAUGGAGUUAGUUUUUGGAAUCAUUUGAAAACAACCCUAAUGUCAUUCAAUUUAAGGCUGCUUAUAAAGUCACUAAACCAUUUA
Molecule: long non-coding RNA, 1982 nt
Organism: Cydia pomonella (codling moth)
Lineage: Eukaryota; Metazoa; Arthropoda; Insecta; Lepidoptera; Tortricidae
Exons: 3
Source: RefSeq, a predicted model, not a curated record